Lactuca sativa (garden lettuce) is the source of this 1042-nucleotide non-coding RNA. The record is from RefSeq and is a predicted model, not a curated record. NCBI's taxonomy places the organism in Eukaryota, Viridiplantae, Streptophyta, Magnoliopsida, Asterales, Asteraceae.
AGCAUUGUUAUGUUGGUUUCUUUAAUAGGAAAUUUGCAACUGACAGCAACUCCAGCCUCAUAUAUUUACAUCAACCCCACUAUUCCCGAGGCUGCUGCAAUGGCUGCUGAGUUUGUUGAACGACAUAAUCAAAACCCUGUACUCAAGAUAAAAUACCAAAAAAGUAAAGAUGUACAAGUCGAAAAGAAAAGAAACAGGUUUCCAUUGGUAGACUUGCUAUCUCAAAACCCAAAUGCAGUAAGCCAUCAAACCUUCUCUUAUCUUAAAAUAUAUAUACAAAUUUUAUAGUUUUAAAUUUAAUAUAGAUAAUAUUACAGGGAGCUCAGUUCACUUGCAAAGCAUCUCUGGUUAGCAUAGAUGCAAGCAAGGGUUGGUUUUAUAAAGCAUGUCAUGAAUGUCGUAAAAAACUUCAAAAAAGAGGAAACACACUUGCAUGCGAAGAUCAUGAUCAAGUUGCUAAACCAAACAAUUUGUAAGUACUAUGUUUUUUAUGUCAACUACUUGAGUAUAAUCAUCUUAACAUAUAUAUGUCUAAUAAUCGUUCAAUAGGUUUUUUAUCACAUCAUACAUCGCAGAUGAGACCGCUCAAGCAAAGAUAGUCAUUUUUGAUGCUGCAGCUAGAAUGUUGUUCCAAACAGAUUGCAACACACUCAUUGAUCAUCAUGGAUACACUGAUCCGUACACAUUGCCUGCACCACUCACCAUUCUCAUAGGCCAGCCAAAAAUAAUUCAAUUCCGAUUCGCAAGAUUCUGUAGGCCAGGUGCUAAAGACUUUGUAGCAGAUGCUGUUUUUGAAGAUAUAGUUUCUCCAGAAAAAGAAAGUCACACAGAAACAGACAUUAUCAACCAACCAACUGCCUCAUCAUCAUCAAAAAAAAAACACCCACUGCAUCAACUGAUCCUCCAUCUAUUGCUUCUGUUACUCCAGCAAAAGCCUUUCAAGAGCGUCUCACAACAUCACCCAUCACACCCGCUUCCGCUGAAACUAAACAUCACCAAAUGAAAUCUGUCCAGAAACAACUUUUCCAAACAUCAUCUGAAG